This 253-nucleotide ribosomal RNA is filed under the name uncultured bacterium. Its description in RNAcentral is "partial 16S ribosomal RNA". It matches the Rfam family "Bacterial small subunit ribosomal RNA", at positions 524 to 776 of the family's 1533-position model. The record is from RNAcentral.
GACGAAGGGGGCUAGCGUUGUUCGGAAUUACUGGGCGUAAAGCGUGCGCAGGCGGUUUCGCAAGUCAGAUGUGAAAGCCCCGGGCUCAACCUGGGAAUUGCAUUUGAAACUACGAGGCUAGAGUGUGUCAGAGGGGGGUAGAAUUCCACGUGUAGCAGUGAAAUGCGUAGAGAUGUGGAGGAAUACCGAUGGCGAAGGCAGCCCCCUGGGAUAACACUGACGCUCAUGCACGAAAGCGUGGGGAGCAAACAGG